Molecule: ribosomal RNA, 289 nt
Filed under: Tarentola mauritanica (Moorish gecko)
Lineage: Eukaryota; Metazoa; Chordata; Lepidosauria; Squamata; Phyllodactylidae
Description: partial 12S ribosomal RNA
Source: RNAcentral
ACUCAAAACUCAAAGGACUUGACGGUGUUCCAAACCAACCUAGAGGAGCCUGUCCUAUAAUCGAUAAUCCACGCUACACCUCACCCCCUCUCGAAGUCAGUCUGUAUACCGCCGUCUUUCAGUUCGCCUUAUGACAGACCCAUAGCGAACACAACAGCCCAUCACUCAAACGUCAGGUCAAGGUGCAACUAAUGAGGGGGCAGCGAUGGGCUACAUUUUCUAUAACAGAACACCACUAUCCACCACAUGAAACAUAGGCCACAAGGCGGAUUUAGCAGUAAGCCAAACA